RNAcentral lists this ribosomal RNA (305 nucleotides) under uncultured bacterium. RNAcentral describes it as "bacterial SSU rRNA". It matches the Rfam family "Bacterial small subunit ribosomal RNA", at positions 333 to 630 of the family's 1533-position model. The record is from RNAcentral.
GUUAGCCUACGGGGGGCAGCAGUAGGGAAUCUUCCACAAUGGACGAAAGUCUGAUGGAGCAACGCCGCGUGAGUGAAGAAGGGCUUUGGCUCGUAAAGCUCUGUUGGUAGCGAAGAAAGAUAGAGGUAGUAACUGGCCUUUAUUUGACGGUAAUUACUUAGAAAGUCACGGCUAACUACGUGCCAGCAGCCGCGGUAAUACGUAGGUGGCAAGCGUUGUCCGGAUUUAUUGGGCGUAAAGCGAGUGCAGGCGGUUCAAUAAGUCUGAUGUGAAAGCCUUCGGCUCAACCCGAGAAUUGCAUCAGG